GAUGAACGCUGGCGGCGUGCUUAACACAUGCAAGUCGAACGAUGAAGCCCAGCUUGCUGGGUGGAUUAGUGGCGAACGGGUGAGUAACACGUGAGUAACCUGCCCUUAACUCUGGGAUAAGCCGGGGAAACUGGGUCUAAUACCGGAUAGGAGCGUCCACCGCAUGGUGGGUGUUGGAAAGAUUUAUCGGUUUUGGAUGGACUCGCGGCCUAUCAGCUUGUUGGUGAGGUAAUGGCUCACCAAGGCGACGACGGGUAGCCGGCCUGAGAGGGUGACCGGCCACACUGGGACUGAGACACGGCCCAGACUCCUACGGGAGGCAGCAGUGGGGAAUAGUGCACAAUGGGCGCAAGCCUGAUGCAGCGACGCCGCGUGAGGGAUGACGGCCUUCGGGUUGUAAACCUCUUUCAGUAGGGAAGAAGCGAAAGUGACGGUACCUGCAGAAGAAGCACCGGCUAACUACGUG
This 466-nucleotide ribosomal RNA is filed under the name uncultured bacterium. Its description in RNAcentral is "partial 16S ribosomal RNA". It matches the Rfam family "Bacterial small subunit ribosomal RNA", at positions 28 to 507 of the family's 1533-position model. The record is from RNAcentral.